GAUGAACGCUGGCGGCGUGCCUAAUACAUGCAAGUCGAGCGAACAGAUGAGAAGCUUGCUUCUCUGAUGUUAGCGGCGGACGGGUGAGUAACACGUGGGUAACCUACCUAUAAGACUGGGAUAACUCCGGGAAACCGGGGCUAAUACCGGAUAAUAUUUUGAACCGCAUGGUUCAAUAGUGAAAGACGGUUUCGGCUGUCACUUAUAGAUGGACCCGCGCCGUAGUAGCGAGUUGGUAAGGUAACGGCUUACCAAGGCGACGAUACGUAUCCGACCUGGGAGGGUGAUCGGCCACACGGGAACGAGGACACGGUCAAGACUCCUACGUGAGGCAGCAGUAGGGAAUCUUCCGCAAUGGUCGAAAGCCUGACGGAGAAACGCCGUGUGAGUGAUGAAGGUCUUCGGAUCGUAAAACUCUGUUGUUAGGGAAGAACAAAUUUGUUAGUAACUGAACAAGUCUUGACGGUACCUAACCAGAAAGCCACGGCUAACUACGUGCCAGCCGCCGCCGUAA
Molecule: ribosomal RNA, 514 nt
Filed under: uncultured bacterium
Lineage: Bacteria
Description: partial 16S ribosomal RNA
Rfam family: Bacterial small subunit ribosomal RNA
Source: RNAcentral